CAAGAAAAUGCCUAAAAUCUAAAUACAUUUAAAGAUAUGUGUUGUAUAUUUCCACCUGCAGGGGAGCUACCUGAGACAUUGGCCAUUAUCCUCAGUGAAACAAACUUUGAUUUUCCAGACAUAAGGAAGAGAUGCAAAAGGUGGGAUCAGAAAACAGCUGAUAGUGGAUGCCAGCUGAAAAAGCCUGUGACGUACUGAAGGGCACCAAUGCCUUAUACUCUCAGGGGGGUUUUCUGACUUGGGCUAACAAAGCCAGCAAAACACAGAUAUUAAUCAGAGCA
This 281-nucleotide long non-coding RNA is filed under the name Fukomys damarensis (Damara mole-rat). Its description in RNAcentral is "lncRNA (ENSFDAG00000022152.1)". Lineage: Eukaryota; Metazoa; Chordata; Mammalia; Rodentia; Bathyergidae. The record is from RNAcentral.